This 4254-nucleotide long non-coding RNA is filed under the name Macaca mulatta (Rhesus monkey). RNAcentral's name for it is "lncRNA (ENSMMUG00000056693.1)". The record is from RNAcentral. Lineage: Eukaryota; Metazoa; Chordata; Mammalia; Primates; Cercopithecidae.
UGUGAACAGCCAGGCUUUGCUGGUAUGCAGUUGAUGACAGGGUGGUCAGGUCACUCUGUUCCUUUCGCCUCCGUUUUUCUUCCUCAUGUAAAACUUUCUUGAGCUGCAGGAAAAGCUGGUGCUUCUCUUCCUGUAGGGCCAAAAGCUUCUCCUGCAACUUCAGAAUUUGUUCCUUAGUCUCCUCUAGUGACUCUCUUCCAUCUCCUUUUUCUUCUCUUUUGUUCUUCCUUCAUCUUCCGUUCCGUCAUCUUGUCCACCUCUUCUUCCUCCUGCCGCUUGCACUCCCGCUCCAUCACAAUGUGCUUGGUGCAGUGCUCUGGCCAUGGCAUUGGAAAGCUUGGGGCGCUCCAAGAGUGCGGAUAUGGUGCUGCCUUGGGCACUCGGGCCUUGGGCGCCCGGCUCUGUCCGGACCUUAGACAGGGACCGCCUUCUCGGCGCUUUCUCCGUGUCUCCGUCGCGCCCUGGCCCCUGCGUCACAUCCGGAGGCUGGGCCGAAUCCUUCCGGAGUCCCACAGUGCUAUCAUAACAGCCGGGAAUCAUUUGAAAAUGAGCUUCUCUUCACUUGGCGUGUCAGUUACAGUACUGGUGCUCAGGAUUAAGAAUAUGGCAGUGCUUUGAGGAAAAGGAAAGAGAACAAGGUAGCAGCUUCAAAAGAAGAAGGUGGAGAGGUUGUAAUGGCAGUCACAACAGGAGAGUUCAACAGAGCACAUCUCCUUGCUACUCAAAGUGUGACCCAUGACCAGCAGUGUUGGCAUCACCAGGGAGUUUAUUAGGAGUACAGAAUCUCAAGCCAUACUCCAGACUACUGAACCAGACUCUGCAUUUUAACAAGAUCUCCAGGUGAUUCAUAUGUACGUUUAAGUUUGAAGAGUAGCACUCUAGAGACCACCUGCAUCUCUGUCUCCUGCGCUAGCCCAGCACCAACUUCUCUGACUGACUGUUAGGGGCCAAGGAGGCCAUGGAGCAUUGCAACUGUUCCUCAUUUGACCAUCCAUCACUCAAUGGGCCUGGCAGUGCAAUUCCAAGUGCUCAGAAGAGCCUUCUACAGGGGUUAUCAAUUCGAUAACCAACUCUCCCACUCUUUACAUACAUGCAAAUCUGGUGUGUCUGACUCAAAGUUCGUAGUCUUAACCUUUCCAUUGUAGAAGAACAUGGCUUUGGAGCUUCUGUCUUAAUGAAUACUUUCUUUUAUUCUAAUUUCUAGGUAUUUCCAAAUAUCUGGAAAAUGGCACCAGCCACUUUUGGUGCUUCCAAUAUAUAAGUGCUUCUGUUGUUCCCCCAAAAUCACUUAUAUCCUAAUAAGUAAUCCAUAAGUGAGCUGUCCAAAAAUUUUGUUCCUUAUUACAUUAUUGUAACAAUGACAAAUUAACUUUUCAUUAAGGACAAUAUACUACAAAUAUUAAAAGAAUGUAUUUUUAUUUCUCCUUUAAAUGACCAUACUUCAGUUCUUCCUUUAUAUAGGAUUUUUGACCCAGGGUAAUAGAGGAUGAAAGAAUGAAGGAAUGAAUAAAUGACUGAGAUUAUUUCUUUAGCAAGACAAUACAUUUAAAAUUAAGCUAUGGACAGAAAGUGGAUUUUUCUGAAUUGUUUUCACAUAUUCUGGACUCAGUCAGAAGUUUCUUCUGUCAAGUGGGUAAGCUGCCACUCCUUAUCUGACAGCUAGAUCACAAGGCUGCUGCCUUUAGGUAGAAGAACAAGAUUAUAAAGUAGGGGAAGGAAUAAGUAGCCAUUCCUUCUGCUCUUAAAGAAUGUGGGUUGCAGAGGGAGAGAGGCCGAUUGAUAGGGGUAGUCACGCACGUGUCCCACUUUCCCUGUGUUGGAAGCACAGUGGUUUUUAGAAAGGGCAUAAACAUGGAGCUGGGAAGGGAAACAAAUAACCCAUUCCAUAUGAUAAUAAUAAUAAUAGCUAGUAAGUCAGGCACUGUGGUACGUGCUUCAUAUAUCUCUUUGCAAUCAAACUUCAUAAGAACCCUGAUGUAAUUACUUUGUUUUAGUAGAUAAGAAACUGAAACUUACAGAAGGCAAGUGACUGGCUCAAGUUUAUACACUGCAUAAAUGGCAGAAGUAGAAUUUGAAUGGAUGUAUAUCUAAGUAAAGAGCCCACAUCUUUAACCACCAUGCUACAAUGCCAUUUUCAGUAACAGCUGAUCUAGAAUUGAGUUGCUUUGCAUGCCUAAAAGCUCUACUUCCUUGAAUCCCUCCUUCAUGCUGCCACCAAAGAGGUCCAUCUAUGAUAUAAACUGGAUUGUGUUACUCUUCCCUUUGGCUCAUGCCUGUAAUCCCAGCACUUCAGGAGGCAGAGGCAGGCAGAUCACGAGGUCAGGAGAUUGAGGCUGGUAGUAUCACAAUGUGUUCACUGGACAACUCUGUGGGGCCCUCCUGCCCAACUCCAAUCCAGGUAUUUAGAGGUUACAAUCUCUUGGGGGUUAUCACCUGUCCACUGUGAGUUGCAGCAUUAGGCCCGUGAAAAUGGGAGAUUGACCCACUCCACCCCAGCUGGGGCUUCAUAUCUUCUUUUUGAACUAAACCCUGCAAUUUAUGUAGCCUAUUCUGUCUAUGGCUUUCUAAUGUGUCUCUUUGAAUAUAAUGCCUCUUGAAUAUAGAAAUGUCAAGUCAUAAUAAAAUUGUGACAUUAAUGUUACCUCUAAGGGUGCCAAGUGCAAGGCACUAACAAUUUAAUAAGUUUGGGCUUUUGCAUGACCUAUGUUAAUAUGUGAUUUCUUGCUAUUUUGCAUGGCAAGGGAAGUUUUUCAGAAUUCAUUUGAUUGCAAGAUCAAUGUGAAAAUGCAUUAUCUGCCUGCCUUGAGCAUGGCCAACUGUUGACCUCUCCAAUUAAGUAGAGUUGAGAAUGAAAAUUCAAUUACAAUGAACAAAUGUUUCUUGAACAUUUUCCAUGUGUGAGGCCCUAUGCCAGGCCUUGUGGAGAAUAUGCAGAUCUAUGAGAUUUUUUUCCUAUCUUUGGGAUACUUGCAAGCAAGUUGAAGGAGGCACAGAUACAUGCACGGAUGAUCAUGGUAUCGCAUGCUAUCUUAACUUAUGAAAGCAGAGGAAAUGGAGUUAGGUAAGCUGAACUUUUUGUAGGUAGCCCCCCAUAGCAGGCAUGGCUGGUUCCUUGCCAUAUGUUCAUUCCCUUUCUAUGAGACUAAAACCCUACUCCUAUUUUUUAGGGCCUCUUCAUUGGAAAAGAGGAGUCCAUCUCCAGCUCAGUGACAAAUCUUGAUAGCUUUAUGCUUUUCAUGAUAAUUCCAUGCCUCUUGUCAGUGAUUAGUUAAGAGGUGGGCCUGUGACUCAGUUCUGGCCAAUGAAAUAUAAAGUCAAAUCUCUGGGUUCCUUUUGGAAAAGUUUUCUUGUAGUAGAAAGAGUUUAACAGUUAAGAGUACAGAUUCUGAAGUGAACCGCCUGGUUUAUAAUCCUGGGUCCACUGCUUACUAGCUGUGUGUCAUUAUAAGUCACUUAAUGUUUCGCCUCCACUUUCUCAUCUGUUAAAUGGGGUUAAUAUGUACCUAAUGGGGUUGUUGUGAGUAUCGAAUUAGUGAAUAUUUUGUAAAUAGACCAAGCAUUGGCAUUCCUGAGAGAGAAGGAGAAAGAGUAAGCAACUUGGAAAAUAUAUUUGAGGACACAGUCUUUGAAAAUUUCCCUAAUCUCACUAGAGAAGAUGACAUGAAAAUUUGAGAAAUACAGAGGUCCCCUACUAGAUACUAUACAAGAUGAUCAUCCCCAAGGCACAUAGUCAGCAGAUUCACCAAGGUCAAGGUAAAAGAAAAAAUCUUAAAGGCAGCUACAGAGAAGGGUUGGGUUACAUACAAAGGGAACCCCAUCAGGGUAGCAGCAGACCUCUCAGCAGAAACUUUACAAGCUAGAAGAGAUUGGGGACCUAUUUUCAGCAUCCUUAAAGAAAAGAAACUCCAACCAAGAAUUUCAUUUCCUGGCACACUAAGCUUCAUAAGCAAAGGAAAAGUAAAAUCCUUCUCACACAGGCAAAUGCUGAAGAAAUUCAUUAUAACUAGACCAGCCUUACAAGAGCCCCUUAAGGGAGUGAUAAACCUGGAGACAAAAUGAUGACACCUGUUAUCACAAAAACACACUUAAGGACAUAACCCACAGACACCAUAAAGGAACUAUACAAUCAAGUCUGGAAAGCAACCAGUUAACGAUAACAGGAUCAAAAUCUCACAUAUCAGUAUGAAAGGGGCUAAAUGCCUCCACUUAAAAGACAGAGCGGCAAGCUGGAUAAAGAGGAAAGACUCAAUUGUC